GCAAAGUAGAAUUAUGCGCGUCAAGUGUCCGAUGAACGGGGAGUUGUCAUCGGGACGAAAAGCCCGCCGUAUAAACGGCAGACGGUUUGCGGUGCAUAGUUCGCAUCCCGUUG
Molecule: non-coding RNA, 113 nt
Filed under: Candidatus Falkowella caecavicola
Lineage: Bacteria; Bacillati; Bacillota; Clostridia
Description: THF riboswitch
Rfam family: THF (Tetrahydrofolate) riboswitch aptamer
About the family: THF riboswitch presents a pseudoknot that joins P1-P2 and the loop of P3 and two THF binding.
Source: RNAcentral